RNAcentral lists this unclassified non-coding RNA (214 nucleotides) under Hevea brasiliensis (rubber tree). Lineage: Eukaryota; Viridiplantae; Streptophyta; Magnoliopsida; Malpighiales; Euphorbiaceae. The record is from RNAcentral.
AGUCUGUUUUCUCCAUGGAGCAGGGCCACCUUUUUAUGCAUUCAUUAUGCGAGUUACUUUCAUCUUGUAACCAUAAGUUGCUAGGUAGAUUUAACCUUUCUGAGUUUAUGCGGCUCAUUUUCACUGGCCAAAGAGGAUUUUGGGUGUUAGAAGAGCCUAAACCCCUCCCCUGGCCGCCUCGCGCGUUCAGAGUUUCUUAUAAGCAAUUUCAGGU